This 61-nucleotide microRNA precursor is filed under the name Monopterus albus (swamp eel). Its description in RNAcentral is "Mal-Mir-21-P2_pre stem-loop". It matches the Rfam family "mir-21 microRNA precursor family", at positions 8 to 67 of the family's 72-position model. The record is from RNAcentral. Lineage: Eukaryota; Metazoa; Chordata; Actinopteri; Synbranchiformes; Synbranchidae.
UAGCUUAUCAGACUGGUGUUGGCUGUUUUAUGAGCACGGCAGCAGCAGUCUGUAAGCUGGC